RNAcentral lists this long non-coding RNA (2592 nucleotides) under Cricetulus griseus (Chinese hamster). RNAcentral's name for it is "lncRNA (ENSCGRG00015038988.1)". Lineage: Eukaryota; Metazoa; Chordata; Mammalia; Rodentia; Cricetidae. The record is from RNAcentral.
UAUACUUUCUUUUUUGUUUCUUAGUAAGUCAUCUAACUAAGAAUAUACUUUUUUUUCUUUUUGGUUUUUGGAGACAGGGUUUCUCUUAAUACAGAGAAACCCUGUCUCGAAAAACCAAAGGGGAAAAAAAAAAAAAGAAAGAAAGAAGCUCACUGAGAGUAACAGAAACAAGAGAUGUUUUGACAAGGCCUUUAUAUUUUGUUAACUGUCAAGAAAGAGGUCCAAGAUACCUGUGUGUGUGUGUGUGUGUGUGUGUGUGUGCAUGCACUUGAGAAAGCCAGAAGACAGCCAGCCUAGAAAUCCCCUGGAGCAAAAUUACAGGCAACUGUGACCCACUUGAAGAACCAAAGGCGGAUCCUUUAUAAGAGCAGUAAGUGCUCUUAACCACUGAACAUUUCUCCAUACCCCAUGAAGAGUAUACAUUUGUUUUUGUUUUGUUUAGUUUUCCUGUUUCAAUACAGUGUCUCACUGUGUAGCCCUAGCUGGCCUGGAACUCACUAUAUAUAUAAUUCAUAGUGAUUUGCUUACCACUGUCUCUCAAGUGUUGGGAUUAUAGGCAUAUGCCACCUCACAGGGCUUGAAGCAGAGAGUUUUAAAGUAAUUGUCCAGUAACUCAUAAAUCUAAAGUUCAGACAAGCUGUUGACAGAACAUUAAACACUAUGAUGACUGCUUGACCUUUGGUCAACUGUUUUGUUUUUAGGUCUUGUCCUUUAUUAUGGAUGUCCUUGCUAAUGAGUGGAAAGAACAGAGUUCCCUUUAAGCUCUAUUACAUAUGAUUGUCAGCAGUGCCAUUUGUAUAGUCUAUACAUUCCCAUCAGUCACUCAGUUAAUCUUAAGGGACAGGGGACAUUCUAGGUAGUCAAAUGUUCUAGGUAGGGAUGGUGUUUUUCAGCAACCUGACAAUGUCAAGGGACUGAGGGCAGACAAGCCCUUGCCUAACUUGAGGUGGAAUGUAUCACAGGACUCAAGUUUGGGUUCCAUUCUCUCAGUUUCUUGCCAAGUUUAGAUGUUGUUUCCAUAUGGAAGGUAACAGGCUCAGGGUCUGCGAGAUCUUCUGUUUUCAUGGGAGCCUCCAUAGUUUGUCAUUUGUUGUUUCGAUGGUGAGUAAGUAGGUCAGCAUUGACAGUUUCUUGUAUUAGAAUUCCUGGAUAUGCUACUGGCCUCACCACAUGGUCCAAACAUCACAGGAAGUGUUAACAAAGCUGGCUAAUGCUCCUAUAAUAAAGAACUGACUUCCUUCUCUCCUUCCUUUCCCCUUCCCACCCUUUUUCCUUUUCAUAACUUUUUGAACCUGCCAGAAUCACUUUAAUGUCCUUAUAAUUUGUCUUAUGAGCUAUUUUUGCAAAUGGGAGGCAAUGCGUUACUGCAGUCAUCCUAAAACUGCAUGAUUCUUUUGUUGUUUGGUGGAGAACAAAUAGAGCAAAGAGAAGGGAGUGAACACACUGCUGAUAUCAGUUACACCUUCAGUGAAAAGUAAUAAGCACUUGAUUUCAUGAGUCAGUCUUGUUUCUGCCAAAAAUAUAUUUAUUCUGAUAACCUCAAUCAAUGUGCCAGACUUGGUGAUUAAAGGUUAUGCUGCAAGGGUCGCUAACUUAACUAUGAAAAUGGGAAAAACAAGAAAGGCCAUCUUUUUGUAUAAAAUGGAACAAAGACAUACUUCAAGUAGAAUAAAAUUGUGGUUUUCCUGUUUAAAUACCACUUUACUUAUCAUUGUAGGUAUGUGCCUGUGCAUAUGUAUAGGGGAGAUGACAAUUUGCAGGAGUCAGAGACAAUUCUCUGUCUCUUUAUCCUGCGAGUUCUAGAGAUUUAAUUUACACGGUCAGACCUGGCAGCAGAUACCUUAACCUGCCGAGCUGUUUUGAUGUCCUGCCCUGCUUUUUUAGCCAGGCUGGCCUCAAACUCUUGAUCCUCCUGCAUACACCUCCCAAUACUGGAAUGACAUACAGGCAUGCGUCACAGUGCCUGGUUAAGUUUUAGUUUUUGUUUUAGGCUGUUUGGUUAGCAUACUGUACUUCUCUUGAUGGCAGAGUUUGGAGCAAGUUAUUUGCUACACAAACUACUUAACUACCAAUUUCUGUCUUAGUUAGGGUUUUAUUGCUGUGAAGAAAAACCAUGACCACAGCAACUCUAAUAAAGGGAAUCAUUCAUUUGGGGCUGGAUUAUACUUCAGAGGUUUAGUUCAUUGUGGUCUUGGUGGGUUACAUGGGGCACGCAGGUAGACAUGAUCCUAAAGAGGUAGUUGAGAGUUCUAAGUUCAGAUCAGGAGGUAGCAGGAAGAAAGCAACACUGGGCUUGGCUUGGGCUUCUGAGAAGUCAAAGCCUAUCCCUAGUUACACAUUUCCUCUAUCAAAGCCACACCUCCUAAUGGUGACACUUCCUAUCAGCCUAUGGUGGCCAUUUUCAUUCAAGCCACCACACCCACUGAGCUUUUAUAUGGGUUCAGGGUAUUAUAAUUAGGAUUCUCACUCUUGUAUGAGUGAGUAAGUAGGCAGCUGAGCCCCCCAAGCCCAUCAAUUUACAUUUAUUUAUUUACUUAUUUAUUUAAUUCUUUUUCAAGACAGGGUUUCUCUGUGUAACGGCCUGGCUGUCCU